CUAGAAGAUGACGAGCGGCGGACGGGUGAGUAACGCGUAGGAAUCUGCCUAGUAGUGGGGGACAACAUGUGGAAACGCAUGCUAAUACCGCAUACGCCCUACGGGGGAAAGGAGGGGAUCUUCGGACCUUUCGCUAUUAGAUGAGCCUGCGUGAGAUUAGCUAGUUGGUGGGGUAAAGGCCUACCAAGGCGACGAUCUCUAGCUGGUCUGAGAGGAUGAUCAGCCACACUGGGACUGAGACACGGCCCAGACUCCUACGGGAGGCAGCAGUGGGGAAUAUUGGACAAUGGGCGCAAGCCUGAUCCAGCCAUGCCGCGUGUGUGAAGAAGGCCUUAGGGUUGUAAAGCACUUUCAGGAGUGAGGAAGGGUGUAUGGUUAAUACCCGUAUAUUUUGACGUUAACUCCAGAAGAAGCACCGGCUAACUCUGUGCCAGCAGCCGCGGUAAUACAGAGGGUGCGAGCGUUAAUCGGAAUUACUGGGCGUAAAGCGCGCGUAGGCGGUUUGUUAAGUCGGAUGUGAAAUCCCAGGGCUCAACCUUGGAAUGGCACCCGAUACUGGCAGGCUAGAGUACGGUAGAGGGGUGUGGAAUUUCCUGUGUA
This 600-nucleotide ribosomal RNA is filed under the name Marinomonas communis. Its description in RNAcentral is "bacterial SSU rRNA". It matches the Rfam family "Bacterial small subunit ribosomal RNA", at positions 80 to 677 of the family's 1533-position model. Lineage: Bacteria; Pseudomonadati; Pseudomonadota; Gammaproteobacteria; Oceanospirillales; Oceanospirillaceae. The record is from RNAcentral.